UUCUGGCACCGUUCGCUUUUAGGAGGAAGCGGACAUAAGACGCGUAAAUCCGAAGAGAAGCUGGAAAGGCAGCGACUCCUUUUCGGGCCCGAAUCCAGGGUGGGCUCCCAGGGCGGGGAACACCCCGACGGGCCCGAGACAAAGGCAGGAGGAAGGCGCUGGGGCCGGACGCCCCCGGGGCAGCACGCGAGGGCUGCGGGAAGGGAGCCAGGGCGGCGGGGACGGGGAAGGCGGCGGCGGAGGCGUGCCCGGGGCGGGGAGCGAGCGCGGGCGCACGCAGGCGAGGGAGGGAGCGCGGCGGGGGCCGAGGCGGGGCCGAGCAUCGGUGCGUGCGCUCGGGGGGAGCCGGGGGAGGGCCCGAGGAACCGCGCGACGGUGGGAGGGCGGCGUAGGAAGGGAAGGGGCCGAGGAGGAGGUGGCCCCGCCGGGGAAGGGCCCUCAGGGGCUCUCACCCGCUUCCCGAGGAACCGCGUGCGCGGCGGCCGACGGACGCCCGUUCGUCGGCGUCCCGCGCUCCCGGCGAACCGCCCGCCGCCAUUUUGGAUCCGCUCCCUCCCCCGCGGGCUCCGCCGGCCCCGACCCCCGCCCGCCCCCUCCCCGCGUACAGCCCCGCGGGACGGAGAGCGGGCGGCGCCGCGGCCCCGCACCCCGCUCGGCUUUCCCCGCUCACCGCUCCACUGCCGCCGCCGUCGCCUCCCAGCGCAGGAGCCCGGCUCCCGCCUCGGCGCUCGCUCCGCGCUUGAGGGAAGGGGCGUGGCCAACCGUAGCGCCCGGCCCCGCCCCCCUCGCCCGCCAUCUUAUUGUCAAAGCCCACAAAGGAUCUCGCUCCCCGCCCCCGCCCUGCCGCCGGGGGCGGGGCUUUGGCCUCGGGCCACGCCCACGACGCAGCCGCAGGUCUCUAUUGGCUACCGCCGAACAGCGCAGACGGCGCUCGCCUUUGCGAUUGGUCGCGCCGUCGCCGCGGCACCCAGCCGCCCCCGCCCCUCAGGCGCCGCGCACGGGAGGCUGCACGGUUGCCGCAGCGCCGGGCCCUUCCCCUCGGCCGUGAGAGGCUGGGAGGCGGGGGCUGAGGCGGAGCCCCCAUUUCAAACGGCAGCCAAAGCCCCGCGGCGCGGCUGGGCUCCCGGCCACGGGCUCCGGCGGGAACAGGUUGAGACCUGGCCCGGCGGCAGCCCGCGGGGCCCUCGCUCUGGGAGGAGCUUCGCCCCCGGGCCGCGCCGCCCCCGCCGGGCCGCUCCGCGCCGCCGCUUCCCUCUGGGCUGA
This 1263-nucleotide long non-coding RNA is filed under the name Phasianus colchicus (ring-necked pheasant). RNAcentral describes it as "lncRNA (ENSPCLG00000018961.1)". The record is from RNAcentral. Lineage: Eukaryota; Metazoa; Chordata; Aves; Galliformes; Phasianidae.